ACCCCCGUAGCUCAGUUGGAUAGAGCACCGGAUUUCUAAUCCGGUGGUCGCAGGUUCAAAUCCUGCCGGGGGUGCCA
RNAcentral lists this transfer RNA (77 nucleotides) under Kiritimatiellia bacterium. RNAcentral's name for it is "tRNA-Arg". It matches the Rfam family "tRNA". Rfam says of the family: Transfer RNA (tRNA) molecules are approximately 80 nucleotides in length. Their secondary structure includes four short double-helical elements and three loops (D, anti-codon, and T loops). Further hydrogen bonds mediate the characteristic L-shaped molecular structure. tRNAs have two regions of fundamental functional importance: the anti-codon, which is responsible for specific mRNA codon recognition, and the 3' end, to which the tRNAs corresponding amino acid is attached (by aminoacyl-tRNA synthetases). tRNAs cope with the degeneracy of the genetic code in two manners: having more than one tRNA (with a specific anti-codon) for a particular amino acid; and 'wobble' base-pairing, i.e. permitting non-standard base-pairing at the 3rd anti-codon position. The record is from RNAcentral. Lineage: Bacteria; Pseudomonadati; Kiritimatiellota; Kiritimatiellia.